This 72-nucleotide transfer RNA is filed under the name Bos taurus (domestic cattle). It matches the Rfam family "tRNA". Rfam says of the family: Transfer RNA (tRNA) molecules are approximately 80 nucleotides in length. Their secondary structure includes four short double-helical elements and three loops (D, anti-codon, and T loops). RNAcentral also lists the same sequence under 5 other names. The record is from Rfam by way of RNAcentral. Lineage: Eukaryota; Metazoa; Chordata; Mammalia; Artiodactyla; Bovidae.
UCUCAGAUGGCUCAGAUGGUAAAGAACCUGCCUGAAAUGUGGGAGACCUAGGUUCAAUCCCUUGGUUGGGAA